RNAcentral lists this long non-coding RNA (949 nucleotides) under Anser cygnoides (Swan goose). RNAcentral describes it as "lncRNA (ENSACDG00005010154.1)". The record is from RNAcentral. Lineage: Eukaryota; Metazoa; Chordata; Aves; Anseriformes; Anatidae.
AUGCGAGGGAGCAGAGAAAGGGAGGUGGGGAAAGCAGGGAUGACAUCAUUUCCCACGGUAGCAUGUACGUAUCGCAGGGUCCAUUUAAUUGCAGCCGUCCUCCUCCCUGUCUUUACCCUGCCACCCCCUCUCCAGACAGCUUGUGUGGGAACUGGAGUGAGGCAAGGGAGAUGCUCUGGGAGUGAACUGAAUGUAAAGAAGUGCGUGGAGCAGAACACGAGAGCUUGGGAAGAGCACCAGAUGCAGGGACACAAACAAGCAGAUGUCCUGAGGCUUCAGUAUGGAAAUACACAAGAAGCCAGAAAAAUUAAUUCCUUUCAUCCAGAAGAAAAAGUUUUGUUCCAUUUACAGUUAGCACAAAACACCAGUAUUCACAGCAGAAGAGUCCUGCCGUUGGCCUCCGCAGCGUCUGGCUUUUGCUCAUGUGCAUCCAGCCCAGAGAUGCAUUGCUGGCCGCAGACUCCACCUCUCCUCACCUGUCUAAGGCUGCACAAGUUAGAAGAAAGUUCCUGCUGUUCAGGAAAGGCCACCUUGCUUUUGAUUUUACUCCACAUCUUUUGUGUUCUGCCAAGCUGCUUCUGUCUAAAGGCAAGACUUUCUCUUUGAUUCUGGUGAUUGCAAAGGGUUACUGAGCCUCCAAAAGACUACUUAGAGGAGUCUUCCCAUGGACAUCAAAUACCUUUAAACCCAAGGAGGCUCCUUCUGAAGACACAGAACAAUUCUGAUUUAUUUAUUUUUUUUAAGCUCUACAUUGUAAUAUAGAUAUUUGCAACUUACCUGCUCCUUCCAGACUGUUUUUUCCUAGUUGAAUUUAAAAGUACCAAAUUCUUCAGCUAUAAUACACACACAUAUAUGUAAUCAUAGAAUUAUAAAAUCACUUACGGGAACAUUUUGUCUCAAUAUGCUUAUAGAGGUAAAUAUUGUCAAUAAAAUUUAUUGUAGAUAAACA